Salvelinus fontinalis (brook trout) is the source of this 7054-nucleotide RNA transcript. It is a transcript of the gene named TSC22 domain family protein 1-like, with no coding region annotated. Lineage: Eukaryota; Metazoa; Chordata; Actinopteri; Salmoniformes; Salmonidae. The record is from RefSeq and is a predicted model, not a curated record. The transcript has 3 exons.
UCUCUUCAUAUUUUAAACAUAACCUCAACCGUAACUACACUCCUAAUAUUAUGCCUAACCCUAACCUUAAAUCAAGCACAAAAAGCAUUUUUGUUUUCACGAAUUUUUACGAUAUAGCCAAUUUCACUCUGUGGCUGGGGUAACUAGUGGAAACCCUCCUCCCAUCAGUCUCGUCACACUUCAACGGUUCGAGCCACAGUGCAAGAACAAGAAGGCGGACUGGCUGUGAAUAGCUUUUGGAAGAGGGAGUGAUACAGCAAACAGUGGACUAGCUAACGUUAGCUAUAACAAAGACUUUUCAGAAUGGAUUAACCCGUUUUGCGAGAGAAUUAAGUGGAUAUAUUCUCCCAAGGACAACCUUAUAUCGGUAAAGGAUUGCUUGUUUUCAUUUUUUGCUUCUGAGAAAUUCAAUAAUGCAACUCACCACAGUGUGUGGAUAGUGAUGGAGCUAACGUUGCACUUCUGUAUCAGCUCUCGCUUUGGAUGCUUGCUGUUUACUCAGUUUGUGUUAUAACAAUUUAUUUUACCCAUUGAGAUAAUAUAGUACAACGACGAAAUGCUGGCUUGUAUGUGAGAACAUACGCGUCUGUAACUGGCUAGCAAGUCCAUACGCUUACGUUAGACUAGCUAACAAGCUAGUUAGCUUGUUAGCAUUUCGGCUCGUCAACUGAUUGUCAAACGCGAGCAUUCUCCGUCACGAGGGGAGACGUUUUAGAUAUCCCAAAAAGCUAAAUGUUUGAACCUUGUCUUUAAAACAGAUUUAUUUUUUGUCGGUUGAUAUUAAGUUAUUGUUAAAUAUCAGUCUUUGUCAAAACGGCGGCCCUAACGAAGUGUAACGUUAUCCCCUGGAAUCUUUCAAUAUGCACCAUCCUCAUUCUGCAGGAGACUCUGGCAGCGUCAGAAAGAUGGCGCACCCGGCGAAUUUUCCAAGAAGGGGUAAUGUUAGCAACAUUAACACCGGCGCCGGGACUGUUCCCACGAUGUCAACACCGACUAUUUCAGCUGUUAGCAAAUGCCACGUUCCCACUGAAGACUACCAAUCCCCCCUCUUGAUGCAGUCUCAACCUCCUGUUGGAUCAUCCUCCCCUGGGCCUCAGCACCCUCCCCACAGCCUUAACCUGCACUCCCAGCCACAGCCCCAGGCUCUCUCCUCUGGGUCUCAGAUGAUGAUGAAGAAGAAGAGCGGCUUCCAGAUCACCAGCGUGACUCCAGCACAGAUCUCUGUGAGCACCAACAACAGCAUUGCGGAGGACACGGAGAGCUAUGAUGAUCUGGAUGAGUCUCAUACAGAGGAUCUGUCCUCUUCAGAGAUUCUGGAUGUCUCCCUCUCCAGGGCCAAUGACAUGGCUGGGGGUGCAAGGAGCUCCUCGGAGGAGACGCUGAAUAACUUUCAUGAGGCGGACACCCCCGGGGCCAUCUCCCCCAACCAGCCCCCCCACUCCUUGCCCCAGGGACCCCAGCACGGAGCAGCACGGAUGGUGAACGGAAAUGUGCACCACUACCAUCACCAGAGGCAACAUAAUCAUCCUCAGCAGGCCCUGGCUCAACCUCAUUCCUCUGACCCCCACUUUACCCCCACCUCUGGAGGGGCUGGGGGUGCCCUAAAGAUGCCUUCUACCAUGGAGGUACAUCUGGAGAAUGUUUCAGUGGGUUCUGCCAGUGUUGCUACUCAGCCUGUAGCAGCUGUCUCUCUCCCUGGAAUGCACAGCUCUGCUGCAGUAGCUUCCGUUAGCAUAGCUAAUCCCCUGACCAGCAAUGUUUGUAAUGUGAAUAUGUACAGCUCUUCCAAUGUAUCUGUGAUGGGAGGUGUUAGCACCAGUGCAAGCAGCAGUGGUGGUGGCUUCCCCCCUAGUGUGAUGAGUUGUGGUGGGGGGGUUGGAGGUUUGAUGGGGAGUAACUUUGGCAACCCCAAUGUCAAUCUGAUCCAACACCAAAGCUCUGGAACUGUGAACUCGAGCAUCAGUAUGACUUCUGCUGCUCCCAGUGGCUCUGUGGUGUUGGGGCCCUCCAGUGGCACACAGGGUGGAGGAGCUGCCAUACCUCAGCCAGGGAUGAGCUCCUCGGGCAUGGCUCUAGCCUCAGUCCCCUCCUCCCAGCCCCCCCCAACCCCAGCUCCUGCCACCACUAGCUCCCGUUUCAGAGUGGUCAAGCUUGACUCCAGCUCAGAGCCAUUUAAAAAGGGAAGAUGGACAUGUGCUGAGUACUAUGACAAGGAGACCCCAGCUUUGGCCCCUGCCCCCUUGUCCUCUGAGGCUACUGCCCCUAGUGGCCGGGUUGUGGAGAGCAUGCAGCCGUGUGGGCCUGAGAGUGUGAAAGGGGGGUCGGAGAGGGAGAGCACCGGUGGGGGUUCAGUGAGCAGCACAGUCAGCACACUGAGUCACUACACAGAGAGUGUGGGAAGUGGAGAUGCUGGAGGCCCCCCAUUACUCCAGCCCCACCCUCACUACCAGGACUACUCCAACCCCCCUCCGUCCUUCCAGACCUCCCGCCCAGGUUUCCCCAUGGUGGUGUCCCACCCCCAGUCUCACCUGCUGACCACUGUGGCUCCCUCAGUCCCUGCCAGCGUUCACCAGCCUGCCCCCAUCAACAUGGCGGGCCUCCAGACCACCAUAGGCCACCCUACCACUCCUAUUCACCAGCAGCCGCUCACCUACGCCCAGGCAGCCUCCAACCCGGCUCCUGGCUCAGCUCAGAGCCUAGUGGGGGUGCUCCAGAAGCAGAUGGGCUAUGCUCUUACACAGCAGCCUUCUGCGACUCCCCAGGUAGCCCCGGUGCACAGGCUGAGCCAGGGAGGGGGCAUGCCUCCAGACUACCCGCAGCCCAAGGCAGGCCUAGCCCAACCUGCUGUCCCACAGGCCCUGCCUGGAUCCGGGCAGAUGAUGGGAGUCUCGCAGCAGAAGGUGGUUGGCUCCAUACCCCAGCUCCAACCCCAGGGUCUCAUCCAACAGCAGCCCCAACAGACCUCAAUCCAGGCCUCUGCUGUAGGAGGGGGGUUAAUGCCUCAGAUGGGCCCAGGAGGAGUGACUGGGUUUGGGCAGCAGCCACAAGGACACUCUCUUCCCCUGGACCACCAACAUCAUCAACAACAGCAGUCAUUCCCAAGCAAAGCCCAAGGACUUGCCACCCAGCUGUCCAACACUGCCCCCCCUAACCAGGGCUGUCUAGUCUCCAAUGUGCUUCCUCCUAACCCCCAGAGUGACCCCCAGAACGGCAGUGGCCUGGCCCAGUCUCACCCCCAGGCGCAGCCACCCGGGGUCAGCAUGCCCCAGGACUUCAACAGUGCCCAGGCCCACACCCAGGCUGUGGCUUCCCAAGCCAGUGCCCUGUACGCCAGCCUGCCCUCCUUCACCACCACCCAGCUGGAGGAUGCCCAGCGCCUUCUCUUCCAGGACCAGUCUGCCCUGCUGGCCCAGACCAUGGCCAAGCUGGCUGGGGAGGGUGGCACUGCGGCAGGCACAAGCCUGGGGGCUGAAAGUAAUGCAGCCGCCGCCACGGCCGUCAGUGCCUUAACCUCCUCUGCCGGACUCUUCAAAGCCGUGGAAGGAGACGAUGAUGGGUUAAGAGGAUCUGCAGAGAAGAAUGGGAGAAACUCCCAAAUUACAGGUGUGCCAAGCUUGUGGUGUCAUAACCAAGAAGACUAGAGGCUGUAAUCGCUGCCAAAGGUGCUUCAACAAAGUACUGAGUAAAGGGUCUGAAUACUUAUUUAAAUGUGAUUUUUUUUUUAAAUUUCUAAACUGUUUUUGCUUUGUCAUGUGCGUAGAUUGAUGUGGGGGAAAAACUAUUUAAUAUAUUUUAGAACAAGGCUGUAGCGUAACAUUUGGAAAAAGUUAAUGGAUCUGAAAACUUUCCGAAUGCACUAUAACUUGGAUAGAGGGAGGGAGAGGGACUUUUUUCCCUUAUUAUUAGAAGAGUGGUACAAAAAUGGAUCCAGCACACUGUUGAAGUCUUUGCCUUGGAUGGGUAUUUAGAUCAGGCAGUAUAGACACCACAUUUUUCAGGAAGUUUAUAUAUCGUCCAUAUUAGGGGUAUAAAUAUUUGCCAGAACCACCAGAAUAUUAUACAGCAUCCCUGAGACCACAAUAUAUCGACCAUUUCAUGUCUGAGAACUUGGGAAGGUGCCAAAUUUGUAUUGUGAUUGUUCAAAUAGUUUGAGAUUAAAACCUGCCCAAUACAGGAUUUUCUCCAGCUUUAAUCUGGGAACAGGUGUGUUUCUUGUUACAAAAAGAAGCUAUGUUUGCUUUGACAAGUUGUAAGUGUGCCGUUUUACAUUCCAACUAAUGCAGUUGAGCCCCCCUUGGCCUGUCUUGUAUCUUGAUUUGACAUGUUGUACAGGAAGCUAUCUCUAUACAAACAUUUAAAAGCAUAAAUGUACCUGUAUGCAUGUUGCUUUUUUUCUAAGCAAGCAAAAUACAUUGUUGGCUCAAAUAAGUGGUUCUCUAACUGUUCUGCAUUGUUACUCAUCAGCACAAAGCGCCUUCCAGAUCCUCUUCUGACUGAUCAAAAAAACAGUAGUUCAAGUUUGAAGCAAUAAAUGACUCACAACCUGACUGAAUCAGUGACUGGUGUACAAAUCAAAUUGUAUUUGUCACAUGCGCCGAAUACAACUGGUGUCGACCUUAGUGAAAUGCUUGCUUACUUAGCCCUUAACCAACAAUGCAGUUUUAAGAACCCCCCCCCAAAAAAUAAAAUAAAAGUAAGAAUAACAAAUAAUUAAAGGGCAGCAGUAAAUAACAAUACCGGGGCUAUAUACUGGGGGUACUGGUACAGAGUCAAUGUGCGGGGGCACCGGUGUCUAGGUACUUGAGGUAAUUAUGUAACUACAAUGUUGUUCAGACGCUAUCACUGUUUGUAUAAGUGAUAGGUAUUGUUACCCCAGGAAUUGGUAUUAUUAACUUAGAUAACUGUGCUAAAUUAAUAUUUUACUGAUCUGGUGCUGAAGUAUACUGAACAAAAAUAUAAAUCCAACAUGCAACAAUUUCAAAGAUUUUACUGAGUUACAGUUCAUAUAAGGAAAUCAGUCAAUUGAAAUACAUUUAUUAGGCCCUGAUAUGUAGAUUUCACAUGACUAGGCAGCAGUGCAGCCAUGGGUGAGCCAUGGAGGGCAUAGGCCCAACCACUGGGGAGCCAGGCCUGGCCAGUCAGAAUCAGUUUCCCCCACAAGGGCAUUUAUUAUAGACAGAAAUUCUCUUCCGCAGAGUUGAAUGGCUGUGAUAGGAGAGAACUGAGGGCGGAUCAACGACAUUGUAGUUACUCCACAAUACUAUCCUAAUUGAAAGAGUGAAAAGAAGGAAGGAAGCCUGUACAUAAUAUACACUGUAGUUGCUUACCAAGAUGACAUUGAAUGUUCCUGAGUGGCCUAGUUAUGGUUUUGACUUAAAUCGGCUUGAAAAUCUAUGGCAAGACUUGAAAAUGGCUGUUUAGGGGCCUGAGGGCACACACUUCAUGCGUUGUUGAAGUGUGUAAAUUUAUUUUUUGCUUCAAUUUUAUCUCUAAAUAAGCUUUGUUGUACAAUUUUUAAAGGUCAAAUGCACUGCAUUUCAAACAGUCAGCAAUAAUCUAAUGAAUUCAGAGCUUGUGAAUUUAUACCUCCACAACCAUAAGACCCAUUGAGGGCACACACUUAAUGUGUUGUGAAAUUUGUUGUGAAUGUAUUGUAAUGUUUUUAAAAUUGUGUAACUGCCUUAAUUUUGCUGGACCCCAGGAAGAGUAUCUGCUGCCAUUACAAAUACAACCAACUUGACAGAGCAUGAAUAAUGUUUACAUUUGAUGCACUCAAUAAGGCUAAUCUUAAAGCACUUAAAAUGAACUUUUAUCUAAAAAAAAAAAACAUUUUUUUUAUAAAAGUGAGUUUAUAAGAUUAUAAUUGUUUGCCAUUUGUUUUUAUACUGAUUUUAGGAAGAGUAAUGGAAAUGUCUGGCCCCCCUGGAAAUAACCUUAAUCUAAUCUGACCCUUGCCUAUAGCCCUUGCCUAUAUCAUUAUUUUGUUUGCCAUUGUCCUCUAAAACCCCAAUUUGUAUGAUUGGCAGUAAUCUAGUAAGCAUAGGGCCCUAGGCUAUUUCUGGCAUAUAGCUAGAGAUCAAAAUCUAUGUUGACGAGACAACCAUUGUGCUGCACACAUCUGAGACCUGUGAACUAUGCUGUUACCUCUGAUGUCCACCAGUUGUCAGUGUCACGCCUCUAAUCAGCCUCCUCCCUCUACUGCCCACUUGACAAUUUCCCUGAUAGGUGGUUUGUCUGCAAGACAGAGACACACACACACAGAGACACACACACACAGAGACACACACACACAGAGACACACACACACAGAGACACACACACACAGAGACACACACACACAGAGACACACACACACAGAGACACACACACACAGAGACACACACACACAGAGACACACACACACACACAGAGACACACACACACACAGAGACACACACACACACAGAGACACACACACACACAGAGACACACACACACAGAGACACACACACACAGAGACACACACACACAGUGUAUUAUACAGACAUAUUUACUGUAAACCUAUGGGAAAUUCCAUGGCAAUGGAAUUACGCUGAAACUCAGAUUUUUCACUUUAAAAUGUAUACCAACAAAACCAUUGAUUUCAAAGUUUAACAAACCACACAACUCUAUGAACAAGGAAUACUUUUAACAAUUUUCACUGAACAUUUUACAAAAACACAUUUACAUGAAUAACUGUGCAGAUAUACAUUUGGUAACGGAAUUAAUUUUCUGUAGAAAUUGUUCAAAGUAGUCCUUGUUCAUAGAGUUGUCAGAUUUUUUGACUUUGAAAUCAAUGUUUUUUUGUUUGGCAUACCUUUUUAAAGUGAAAAAUCUGAGUCUCGGCAUAAUUUCGUUGUUCAGAAGUGGCUUGUGGCACAGUCGCACAAUUGUAGAUCCGUGUGUGUAUAUGUUAAUCUGUUUGUCUCCCUCUCUUUUUUCCAUGUUCUCUCCUGACCUGCCCUUUCGCUACCCAUCUGUAGUUCGUCAGGAGCCAGUGUGGUGGCCAUAGACAACAAAAUUGAACAGGCUAUGG